This 113-nucleotide ribosomal RNA is filed under the name Acanthosepion pharaonis. Lineage: Eukaryota; Metazoa; Mollusca; Cephalopoda; Sepiida; Sepiidae. The record is from RNAcentral.
UACGGUGAUAUCAUAUUGAAACAUCAGUUCUAUUUCGAUCCCCGAAGUUAAGCAAUGUCGAGCCUGGUCAGUACCUAGAUGGGUGACCGCUUGGGAAUUCCAGGUGCUGUAAG